GAUGAACGCUAGCGGGAGGCCUAACACAUGCAAGCCGAGCGGUAUUGUUUCUUCUGAUCUGGGAGAGAGGCGUACGGGGGCGUAACACGUGUGCAACCUGCCUUUAUCUGGGGGGUUGCCUUUCGAAAGCAAGAUCAAUUCUCCCUAAUGUACUGAACGGCAUCGUUUAGUAUUUAAAGCUCCGGCGCUUAGAGAUGGGCAGGGGCAGGAUUAGCUAGUUGGUGAGGUAACGGCCUACCAAGGCGACGAUCUUUAGGGGGCCUGAGAGGGUGAUCACUCAAACUGGGACUGGGACACGGACCAGACGGCAGCGGGAAGCAGGAGUUAGGAGAAUUGGGCAAAGGGUGUAAGCCUGAACCAGCGAGCGUGUGUGAAGGAUGUCUGCACUAUGGAUUGUAUACUUCUUGUAGAUAGGGAUAAACCUACCCACGUUGGGGUAGCGGAGGGUACUAUACGAAUAAGCACGGGCUAACUCGUG
RNAcentral lists this ribosomal RNA (478 nucleotides) under uncultured bacterium. Its description in RNAcentral is "partial 16S ribosomal RNA". It matches the Rfam family "Bacterial small subunit ribosomal RNA", at positions 28 to 507 of the family's 1533-position model. The record is from RNAcentral.